This 1971-nucleotide ribosomal RNA is filed under the name human gut metagenome. RNAcentral's name for it is "bacterial LSU rRNA". It matches the Rfam family "Bacterial large subunit ribosomal RNA", at positions 1 to 1999 of the family's 2925-position model. The record is from RNAcentral.
UUAAGCGACUAAGCGUACACGGUGGAUGCCCUGGCAGUCAGAGGCGAUGAAGGACGUGCUAAUCUGCGAUAAGCGUCGGUGAGGUGAUAUGAACCGUUAUAACCGGCGAUUUCCGAAUGGGGAAACCCAGUGUGUUUCGACACACUAUCAUUAACUGAAUCCAUAGGUUAAUGAGGCGAACCGGGGGAACUGAAACAUCUAAGUACCCCGAGGAAAAGAAAUCAACCGAGAUUCCCCCAGUAGCGGCGAGCGAACGGGGAGGAGCCCAGAGCCUGAAUCAGUGUGUGUGUUAGUGGAAGCGUCUGGAAAGGCGCGCGAUACAGGGUGACAGCCCCGUACACAAAAAUGCACAUAUUGUGAGCUCGAUGAGUAGGGCGGGACACGUGGUAUCCUGUCUGAAUAUGGGGGGACCAUCCUCCAAGGCUAAAUACUCCUGACUGACCGAUAGUGAACCAGUACCGUGAGGGAAAGGCGAAAAGAACCCCGGCGAGGGGAGUGAAAAAGAACCUGAAACCGUGUACGUACAAGCAGUGGGAGCCUCUUAAUGGGGUGACUGCGUACCUUUUGUAUAAUGGGUCAGCGACUUAUAUUCUGUAGCAAGGUUAACCGAAUAGGGGAGCCGAAGGGAAACCGAGUCUUAACUGGGCGUUAAGUUGCAGGGUAUAGACCCGAAACCCGGUGAUCUAGCCAUGGGCAGGUUGAAGGUUGGGUAACACUAACUGGAGGACCGAACCGACUAAUGUUGAAAAAUUAGCGGAUGACUUGUGGCUGGGGGUGAAAGGCCAAUCAAACCGGGAGAUAGCUGGUUCUCCCCGAAAGCUAUUUAGGUAGCGCCUCGUGAAUUCAUCUCCGGGGGUAGAGCACUGUUUCGGCAAGGGGGUCAUCCCGACUUACCAACCCGAUGCAAACUGCGAAUACCGGAGAAUGUUAUCACGGGAGACACACGGCGGGUGCUAACGUCCGUCGUGAAGAGGGAAACAACCCAGACCGCCAGCUAAGGUCCCAAAGUCAUGGUUAAGUGGGAAACGAUGUGGGAAGGCCCAGACAGCCAGGAUGUUGGCUUAGAAGCAGCCAUCAUUUAAAGAAAGCGUAAUAGCUCACUGGUCGAGUCGGCCUGCGCGGAAGAUGUAACGGGGCUAAACCAUGCACCGAAGCUGCGGCAGCGACACUAUGUGUUGUUGGGUAGGGGAGCGUUCUGUAAGCCUGUGAAGGUGGCCUGUGAGGGUUGCUGGAGGUAUCAGAAGUGCGAAUGCUGACAUAAGUAACGAUAAAGCGGGUGAAAAGCCCGCUCGCCGGAAGACCAAGGGUUCCUGUCCAACGUUAAUCGGGGCAGGGUGAGUCGACCCCUAAGGCGAGGCCGAAAGGCGUAGUCGAUGGGAAACAGGUUAAUAUUCCUGUACUUGGUGUUACUGCGAAGGGGGGACGGAGAAGGCUAUGUUGGCCGGGCGACGGUUGUCCCGGUUUAAGCGUGUAGGCUGGUUUUCCAGGCAAAUCCGGAAAAUCAAGGCUGAGGCGUGAUGACGAGGCACUACGGUGCUGAAGCGACAAAUGCCCUGCUUCCAGGAAAAGCCUCUAAGCAUCAGGUAACAUCAAAUCGUACCCCAAACCGACACAGGUGGUCAGGUAGAGAAUACCAAGGCGCUUGAGAGAACUCGGGUGAAGGAACUAGGCAAAAUGGUGCCGUAACUUCGGGAGAAGGCACGCUGAUAUGUAGGUGAAGCGACUUGCUCGUGGAGCUGAAAUCAGUCGAAGAUACCAGCUGGCUGCAACUGUUUAUUAAAAACACAGCACUGUGCAAACACGAAAGUGGACGUAUACGGUGUGACGCCUGCCCGGUGCCGGAAGGUUAAUUGAUGGGGUUAGCGGUAACGCGAAGCUCUUGAUCGAAGCCCCGGUAAACGGCGGCCGUAACUAUAACGGUCCUAAGGUAGCGAAAUUCCUUGUCGGGUAAGUUCCGACCUGCACGAAUGG